CCUACGGGAGGCAGCAGUGAGGAAUAUUGGUCAAUGGCCGUAAGGCUGAACCAGCCAAGUCGCGUGAAGGAAGAAGGCCCUAUGGUUUGUAAACUUCUUUUAUAGGGGAAUAAAGGUAUCCACGUGUGGAUCUUUGCAUGUACCCUAUGAAUAAGCAUCGGCUAACUCCGUGCCAGCAGCCGCGGUAAUACGGAGGAUGCGAGCGUUAUCCGGAUUUAUUGGGGUUAAAUGGGGAGUAUGUUGUUUUGUAAGUCAGCGGUGAAAGUUUGUGGCUCAACCAUAAAAUUGCCGUUGAAACUGGAAGACUUGAGUGUGCUUGAGGUAGGCGGAAUGCGUGGUGUAGCGGUGAAAUGCAUAGAUAUCACGCAGAACUCCGAUUGCGAAGGCAGCUUACUAAGCCAUAACUGACACUGAAGCACGAAAGCGUGGGGAUCAAACAGGAUUAGAUACCCCAGUAGUC
Molecule: ribosomal RNA, 460 nt
Filed under: uncultured bacterium
Lineage: Bacteria
Description: partial 16S ribosomal RNA
Rfam family: Bacterial small subunit ribosomal RNA
Source: RNAcentral